AACAUCGCUCUUUGAAAAAAUAAUUAUAAAGAGUACUGCCUGCCCAGUGAUAAAAUUUAAACGGCCGCGGUAUUUUGACCGUGCAAAGGUAGCAUAAUCAUUUGUUCUUUAAUUGAGGACUAGUAUGAAAGGCAAAACGAAAGCUUAACUGUCUCCUUUUUAAAAAAUGAAAUUAGUAUUUUUGUGAAGAAACAAAAAUAACAAAGUAAGACGAGAAGACCCUGUCGAGCUUAAGAAAAUUUUUAUAAUAAAUUUUUAACAAGAUAAACAAAAUUCUACUAUAAAAAUAAAAUAAAAAUAUCUUUGGUUGGGGCAACCACGAAGAAAAAAAAACCUUCGUUUUUAAAAAAAAAUUUACAAAUUUAAAAAUUAUUAAAAAUUUAAAAGAUCCAGAAAAUUCUGAUCAUAGAAAAAAGUUACCGCAGGGAUAACAGCGUUAUUCUCUUUAAGAGCUCUUAUUGACAAGAGAGUUUGCGACCUCGAUGUUGGACCGGGGCACCCAAGAGGUGUAGCAGCCUCUAAAGGUAGGUCUGUUCGACCUUUAAAGCCCUACGUGAU
Molecule: ribosomal RNA, 558 nt
Filed under: Dichrometra palmata
Lineage: Eukaryota; Metazoa; Echinodermata; Crinoidea; Comatulida; Mariametridae
Description: partial large subunit ribosomal RNA
Rfam family: Bacterial large subunit ribosomal RNA
Source: RNAcentral